Molecule: long non-coding RNA, 3894 nt
Filed under: Cricetulus griseus (Chinese hamster)
Lineage: Eukaryota; Metazoa; Chordata; Mammalia; Rodentia; Cricetidae
Description: lncRNA (ENSCGRG00015036000.1)
Source: RNAcentral
GUUAUAUUCCCUUUAAAUCUCCCCUGAGUUCUGGACCUGUGUCUAUCAUCAUAAAAUACCAGAUCUUCAAUGGGUUUGCAAAGUGCUUCAGAACUGAGCGAAUAAUGGAAUCCCGUCUGCUCUGGAACCCCAGAGGUGUAGCAUAGCUCCUGCAGGAAUGUUCUGACUCUGCAGUCAUCAAUGCCACUGCAAAAGAAGCUUCCUUGCCCGUAGCAGCCGGCAGCAGCAUGGAGCAUGGAUCGUACACUUCCACAAGAUUUCCAGUUGUAGCAUGGACCAUGGAUAUUAACACGGUCUCUGUUGGCAGCAUGGACCAUGGACAUCAACCUGGUUUCCAGCAUCAACAAGAACCAUGGCCACUAACUCUGCCCCCAGUGGCAGCAAGGACCGAAAAAGUCUUUCGAGGACACUUAAGCCAAAAAACGAACCAUUCUCCAUCUUAGAUAUCUUGUUGUUGUUCAGAGUCUGGGGGCAGGACCUGUGAAAGCUCCAGGCUUUUGUACACCACCCAGUUCUGGGCUCCAGCAGCCCUGCUGGUACCCUGGGCACAGCCAUCAUGUUUGCAGCCAGUGGGCAGUCCCCAGGUUCCAAGCUCUCCUCCUCCCAGUACGACAAGCAGCAUGAGCAGCAGCAGCAGUGGCCCCAUGCCACUGAUCAGUCUUAUGGACCAAGCAGCAACACCCUGGCGGUCUGAGAGUUGGCCCUACUCAGCAACAACAUGCCCCCUUUCUGCCUUUCCCCAGCUAUGUAAGAUGAAAUGAGGUGGUGGGCUGUAGCCCAUGGGUCAGUUUGCCAUUGCCUGCAUCAGAGAUGGCUGAACAGUGUGCACAAGUGCAUGUGUGCUUGUAUGUUUCAGUGUGCAUGUGUCUCUGUUCAUGAUAUACAUACAUACAUACGUACAUACAUGAAGGCAUAAGGGUGUGAGGGCUAUGAUGGAAGAGACGGAUGGUUCUGGACAUUUGGGAGUGUGGGACUUGUGGAUGGCUGUGGUUUGGUGUGAGAUACAUGUGCUAAUGCCCAUGUUCUGCCUACACAGAAAAGCAGGCUACCAGAAUGCUCCCCACAGCUUGUCCAUGUUUCUAAUGAGAACUGCAGAGACCCAUUCUUUCUGGAACAUGCCCGCUCAGCCGUGGACACUCCCUGUAAGCCCACUCUAAGAAGCCUGAAGAUUUAGAUGACAUUUUCUCAUCACCUUCCAUUUAAGCUACCUGUGAAGCUCAUUGUUUCUGGGUGCCAUAAUUGGAUCUUGAACACCAACUCUUCAUCUCUUCUCCUGACCAUUGUUAUCUGUGAAACCAUGACAACAGCUUGGGUGGUGGUACUUUUUACAAGGCCACAGCCAAGUGCUUAUGCUCUUGAUUGCUGAAGUGUUUCCUCUCACUGUAGUCUCUACAGCUCUUGUUUACAGCAUAGAUUGGUGACAAAAUUGAUACUAACUCUAUGGAGCCUGCCAUUUAUUAGCCUAUUCAUUUUAACUGAAGUGUUAUAAUUUUUAAAAGUCUUUACAUGCUAUGGAUUAUGAAAGAAACCAUAAGACUGUGUGCCUCAGCUUGUAUCACCCAGCAGUCACAGCCAGUUGUUUCUGUCAUUCUCAGCUUUGGCCUGCUUCUUGUUUGCUCAAUUGUUUGGGGACAGGGUCUCUCACUUGCUGGAAAGUUACCAAGUAGAUUAGGCUUGCUCGACAGAGAACCACAGGGAUCUGCCUGCCUCUGCUUCCCUGGCACUGGAUUAUAACACAUACCAUCAUGACUGGCUUUUUAUAUGUAUUCUGGGAGUUGAACCCAGGUCCCCAUGCCAGUUUUUCCAAUUGAGCUAUCUCUUGAGCCUUCAAAUAGCAGUUUUAAAAACCAAACAUUCCAACCAAUACAAUUCACAAAUACUGAUUUGAUGUGUGUGGAGAUGGGAAGGUAGGAAAGUAUUAAGCGUCUUUCUCUGUAUUUAAAACACUAUGUUUUUUAUAAGAGUAGAAGCUCUAUGUGAUGCUAAGAACCAUUGUGAUUCAAAAUAAACAAUAGUCUCUAAUCUGAGGGGAAGGAUUCCAGAUAGGGUUCUUGCUUGUUGUAAGAACGUGCAUCGUGCAAAGGACUCAUGCUGCAUGUUCAGAGGGCACAGUAUAGUCACAGGACAACACAUGCAUGAGCCCCCAUGGGAACACUGUGGACUCUGAGUUUUAAUUAGCUUUGGUUAUUGUGCAAACAGAAACCUUUUACUACUACCCUAUUUUUCUUGACCCCCUUCCUGCCUUCAGUUAGGACUCCCUGUGGGCUUGUGACCCACACUGUCAGAAUCUGAGCCCUAGGACAUCCUCCCACUGGCAACACCUAAAGGUGCUCUACCUCUGAGCUCCACCACCAGCCUGCAGUGUAAAUUCAAUAAUUGCAUUUAUUGCUCCCCCAUUUUCAAUCUUAAAAUGCACACACCUGCUCCAUCUUCAACAAUGCACAGUAUUUCCUUAGCCAUACUUCGCACCACAACAUAAGAAGACAAAUGCUAAGAACAAAAGCAAGUGGCGUGCCCUUGCUUAGGGGCCUCACCUCGUGCAGACAGGCCAGGCAUCAUACGUGCUGUCAUUGUUUGAGUUUCAAGCCUCCCUGGAGACUUCACAUGAAGCCAAGGUGGAGAGCCACGUGUCAUGGACCACAGCUCCAAAUGAACAUUGAAGAGGAGGAGAAGAGUUAAUAACUGGAUGACCCCAAACCUCAUUACUGUCAGACCAGGGGAAUAUUACAAAUUACAAAUGAACUUCACAAAUGACAUUUCAAAGAUACCUCCUUAACCCAAUUCAAGUGCAUGCCAUUGUGAUUAGCUACAUACGCCCAUGAAUAAAGAUCUAAUUAUUGUAGCUAGACAAAUUAAAAUGUUUCUGGAGGCAGCAAUCUUUUCUUCCUUCCUUCCUGGGACAGAUGAGAAGGCUGGUCCUGUAGGAAGCAGGGGCUGACACGGAGCUAUUAAGCGGAAGGGCCUGACAAAGCUCCUUGUACUUGUCAUUUCUGAUGAACCCUGUCUUGAUUCAUUGAGUUGUCCUCUUGGAAACAGCAAUGAAAAAGUUUGUCAUCGGGUUACAUAAUGAGAUGCCUUUCAAAAAUAAAUGAAUAAUCUAGCAAAUACAUCAAAUAUGAUUAACUUUUAAGAGCAGUGUAGAAACAUAUCAGGAGCCAUCCCCCCAUUCACUUAGAACUAUGAUCUGUGUUCCUUUUCCUUGGGGUGUGUUUUCACUCACUCUUUAGCCAAGUGUGUUGCCUUUUGUACUGGCUGAUCUUGUGUGUGAACUUGACAUAAGCUAGAGUCAUCAGAGAGGAAGGAGCCUCAACUGAGGAAAUGCCUCCAUGAGAUUAAGCUAUAAGGCAUUUUCUCAAUUAGUGAUCAAUGGGGGUGGGCCCAGACCAUGAUGGGUGGUGCCAUCCCUGUGCUGCUGGUCCUGGGUUCUAUAUGAAGGUAGGCUGCAGACUGAUAGCUGAGAAACCAGCAUAGGACUGAUUCAGACCCCCUGAAUGUGGAUGUCAGUUUGGAGUUCUGGACAAUUUAUGGGGCCUCUGGUAGUGGAUCAGUAUUUAUCCCUAGUAUAUGAAUGGGCUUUGGGAGCCCAUUCCACAUAGAAGGAUACUCUCUCAGCCUAGACACAUGGGGGAGGGCCUAGGCCCUGACCCAAAUGAUAUGACAGACUUUGAAUAUCCCCCAUGGAAGGUCUCACCCUCCCUGGGGAGCAAAAAGGGAAUAGGAUAGACAGUUGGUGGGAUACAGCGGAGGAAGGGAGGGAGGGAGAGGGACCUGGGAUUGACAUGUAAAACAAGCUUGUUUCUAAUUUAAAUUAAAAAAAAAGAAAAAAAAAAGAAUGUUGAGAGCAGUGCAGAAGAUGGAGGCCUGACUUGUGAAGUUUCACAGGGAAGUUUAAAA